RNAcentral lists this unclassified non-coding RNA (59 nucleotides) under synthetic construct. The record is from RNAcentral.
CAAGUCCACAGCAAUAAGAGUUAAUAGAAAUCAUAGUGAGGAGAACAAGUGGUACCGUA